AACGAACGCUGGCGGCAUGCCUAACACAUGCAAGUCGAACGUGAUCCAGGCUUCGGCCUGGUGAAAGUGGCAGACGGGUGAGUAACGCGUGGGAACCUGCCCUGUGGUAGGGAAUAACCGUGGGAAACUGCGGCUAAUACCCUAUGAGUCCUUCGGGAGAAAGAUUUAUCGCCAUAGGAGGGGCCCGCGUCGGAUUAGGUAGUUGGUGGGGUAACGGCCUACCAAGCCUUCGAUCCGCAGCUGGUCUGAGAGGAUGAUCAGCCACACUGGGACUGAGAUACGGCCCAGACUCCUACGGGAGGCAGCAGUGGGGAAUAUUGGACAAUGGGGGCAACCCUGAUCCAGCAAUGCCGCGUGGAUGAUGAAGGCCUUCGGGUUGUAAAGUCCUUUCGGCGGGGAAGAUGAUGACGGUACCCGCAGAAGAAGCCC
This 429-nucleotide ribosomal RNA is filed under the name uncultured bacterium. RNAcentral's name for it is "bacterial SSU rRNA". It matches the Rfam family "Bacterial small subunit ribosomal RNA", at positions 29 to 493 of the family's 1533-position model. The record is from RNAcentral.